CUUCCUUCUCCAUCUACCACGGAGAUGGGGACGGUAUAAAAAGGAAUAGAGUUUCUCCGUCCAGCAAUCAUUCGCUCUUGCUUCUCAGCAGCAUCUUCUACUACAUUCCAACGUAAACGAGGACUCUUCCAGAAAAUGAACUUUAUUCGCAUUGUGAUGUUCUUCGCCGUCUGCCUUUCUAUGAUCGCCGUCAUCGUCGCCAAUCCAAUCCCGGCCGACAACGAAGGAGGAGUUGCUAGUGCCAGAGAUCAACGUCAACGAAAAUUGUGUUUAGAUUCUCAAUGCUCCCACAUUCGCUGGACCCGAUAAACCAGUUGUCACGGAACAUAUAAUACCGGACUAUGCCCUGUCAUAAAAAGACGGCCGUUCCUUCGUAUAUUGAGGUUCUCCAAAAAGGAACUGUUAUUGACGGGUUAAACACGUUUUUAUUUUUCUUUCCUAUAUACAUGUAUCUUUAAAUUAAUUGUUUUGUGCACCAUGUCCAUAUAUACGAUGGCUGUAUGUAAAUAAGCCUCAGAACGGUUAAUUUUUUUGUAAUCGGUACGGUGUUUGGUUUACAUUCACGUUUCAAUAUGGCGAUGUUAUUCUUUCACAAAACCUGUUGGAUAUUGUUGGGUGAAUAUCAAUAAAUGAACUAUUUUACACAA
This is a long non-coding RNA of Daphnia pulicaria, 647 nucleotides long. RefSeq lists it as uncharacterized. The transcript is spliced from 4 exons. NCBI's taxonomy places the organism in Eukaryota, Metazoa, Arthropoda, Branchiopoda, Diplostraca, Daphniidae. The record is from RefSeq and is a predicted model, not a curated record.